UUUCCGCUUUGCAACCGAAGGCAAAGCAGAGUCUUUGAGAAACACCCGGAAGUUGUCGUCUUCACACCACAUGACUGAAGAUUUGGGACCGGAAAACAAAUGGAAAAGGGAGACUGCUUUCCUUUGCACAGCCGACUUCAACAAUAACCUGCCGCCGAAUCCAAUCAGAUGGAAACUAAUGGACUUUCCAACGCAUCGCACCUGCCUCGCUCUACCCGGAGCUGAAGCGUUGCACGAUGAGUUAAGUCAACGAAACACACUCAGUGCUGAUCUCGGAGAGUCCGUUGAUCCGGUCCUGCUCAAGAAGCUACAAGUCUGUUCUGGUCGUGCAUCUCUUCUAUCCCAGGACGCC
RNAcentral lists this long non-coding RNA (352 nucleotides) under Micromonas commoda. RNAcentral's name for it is "long non-coding RNA (MCOM_LNC000031)". Lineage: Eukaryota; Viridiplantae; Chlorophyta; Mamiellophyceae; Mamiellales; Mamiellaceae. The record is from RNAcentral.